This is a long non-coding RNA of Salvelinus namaycush (lake trout), 865 nucleotides long. RefSeq lists it as uncharacterized. Lineage: Eukaryota; Metazoa; Chordata; Actinopteri; Salmoniformes; Salmonidae. The transcript has 3 exons. The record is from RefSeq and is a predicted model, not a curated record.
CGGUGUAGGCCAUCAUUGUAAAUAAUAAUUUGUUUUUAAAUUACUUGCCUAGUUAAAUAAAAUAAAAAAUAUGACCAUGGUUUGUUUAUUUGGUCUAUUCAGCAUAGCUCUGUUCUGCCCUGCCUUGCCCCCCUGUGGAGCUCAAAAGUUAGUUUCUUAAUGCAAUAAACUAUUUUUUAUAGCAGUGUUUAUUAUGUUACUUCUUUGUAGUAUUGUUUUAUUGCUAUAUCCUUAUAUUGUAUUCUAAUUAAUAAUUCCUCUUUCUUCUGUACUUUCAGAAACCACAAAUAUUAUUUGCCAAUAUCAUAACUGGAGCUGGACAUCUUUGGAGCAGAAGAAUGAGGACAGCUUUUGUAUGCUAACGUACACUCCUUAACAGUCUUACUGGAUGAAAAGACAGCAAGAAAACACAUAUGCCAAUAUGCAGACUUUGCAGUGCCUCCUUGUGCGACUACCUUGAGCAGCAGUUUGAGGGACUUUGCAGGGAAAAUGCCGUGCAGUAAGGCGUAGGGGAUUGUUUACAGCAGGACGACCCCCAGUGGAUGGGCGCCGAGGGGUGUGGUGCUCCUCCAGCAGCUCUCUCAUUAGGUUCUCUCUGUAUUUUUGUCAGGUGAUCCACCUUCCCUGUGGCCGACAUGGUUGCUGUAUGGACAGUGGAGAGGACAUGGACAUCUCUUUUGUCAUGCCACUUUACUGCCAGCUGUUGACCAUUCUCCUGGAACUCCACCUCCCCUCUCUGCAUCUUCCUGCAUCCGAAUCCUGGCAUCCCCUUCCUGUUCGACCUGACUGUGCCACAGGCCCCUGUGCUGUUGGAGAGCAGAUGCUGGAAGAGUGUGGGACUGCUGUACCAAUUGUCCACGUACAA